AGGACGAACGCUGGCGGCGUGCCUAACACAUGCAAGUCGAACGCGCUCCAUUCGGUAGCAAUACUGAUGAAGAGCGAGUGGCGAACGGGUGAGUAGCACGUGAGCAACCUGCCCCGAAGACUGGGACAACACCGGGAAACCGGUGCUAAUACCGGAUAUCCCUAUUGGAUCGCAUGAUCCGAUAAGGAAAUGUUUUUCGCUUCGGGAGGGGCUCGCGGCCUAUCAGCUAGUUGGUGGGGUAACGGCCCACCAAGGCAUCGACGGGUAGCUGGUCUGAGAGGACGAUCAGCCACACUGGGACUGAGACACGGCCCAGACUCCUACGGGAGGCAGCAGUGGGGAAUCUUGCGCAAUGGGCGAAAGCCUGACGCAGCAACGCCGCGUGGAGGACGAAGGCUUUCUGAGUUGUAAACUCCUUUCAGCAGGGCGAUUGUGACGGUACCUGCAGAAGAAGCACCGGCCAACUACGCGCCAGCAGCCG
RNAcentral lists this ribosomal RNA (481 nucleotides) under uncultured bacterium. Its description in RNAcentral is "SSU rRNA". It matches the Rfam family "Bacterial small subunit ribosomal RNA", at positions 26 to 517 of the family's 1533-position model. The record is from RNAcentral.